CUCAAAACUAACUAUUCAUCUCCUUCAUCCCACCGAUUCAGAGGAAACGGCAGCAGAUCAUGGUCACAUCUCUAUCCAGUAUCUCUCACCCACGAUGUGACACUAACAGUCUAGUAAUGGGUAUCCUUUUUUUUUUUAUCAAGCAUGACUGAACCGUGCUAAUCUCCACACUAUCCUGGGAGAGAUGAAGGGGCAUUCUCUUGCCCUAUAAAGACCGCAACACACAGAGACGAAGAGGCAGGGGGGAAGAAAAACAGAGACAUAGAGAAGACAGAGAGACUUGUGACCUUCCUCCAGCAAAAGGGAACUUCAACUUCCCCUCACCGUAGGUUGUUGAUCCAACCAACAAAUACAAACCCAGAGAAACCAGGAAAAAUAGAGAAAAGGCACAAAGAAGAGGAGAACCACAAACAGAUAAUACAAAAAAACACAGACGAAAAAUGAACAAACACAGAUAAAACAGAGAGAGGCCAAGAGGAACAAGAACAGAGAGAGACAGAGGGAACAAGAGAAAUAAAAAAAAAAAGAAGAGAAAACAAGCAGAGAAAAGCAAGAACAGAGGGGAAGUGAACGAAAAACAGAAGUAGAGGGGAAGAAAGUAACAUUGGUUAGCCAGCCCUCCAUCACUAUCGUCUUCGUCUUUAAGUAGCAGCUCCAGGUUGCUUUGACCUUCGAAACCAUUGAUUCACCUAGCCUUGAGUGGGGAUCCAGGUUACGAAACCAAGGUGGUUGUGAGGAUAUGUCUUGUUGAUGGUAUUGACAUGUUCCUAGCAUUGUUGGUGGUGGAUGGUUCUUGCAUGAUAGAUUAAUUGUAUGGGAAUUCAUUGGAACCCUUGUGAUGUUCAGGUGUUGAAACCCGGCUGGAAUCAUUAUUGACACUACAUCAGCAAGUUUGUCCUUUCCUCGCACCGUCUUUCUUUCUCUUCUUCUUAUUCUUGGCAUAGGAUUCGGUUCCUAUAGAUAAAGAGCAUACAUGAAACAUGCCUUUGGUACAAAUACUAACAGAUAUGUAUAAAGUCAUGUUAGUCCCCUGAUG
Long non-coding RNA from Populus nigra (black poplar), 1036 nucleotides. RefSeq lists it as uncharacterized. Lineage: Eukaryota; Viridiplantae; Streptophyta; Magnoliopsida; Malpighiales; Salicaceae. The record is from RefSeq and is a predicted model, not a curated record. The transcript has 3 exons.